AGGCAUUUGGUCUAGUGGUAUGAUCUUUUCUUUUGGUGCAAGUGGUUGUGAGUUUGAUUCUCACAAUGCCCU
This is a non-coding RNA of Picea glauca (white spruce), 72 nucleotides long. The record is from Rfam. NCBI's taxonomy places the organism in Eukaryota, Viridiplantae, Streptophyta, Pinopsida, Pinales, Pinaceae.